AAGGAGAAUCAUCUCUUUCUACAGCUAUAAAAGCCCCCAUGGAAGAUUCCCCAUGCAGAUUGCUCUGCGUCUUUAAACGAGAGAAAGUAUCAACUUCACAGAUGGCUCUCCUCUUCACCCUCAUCUUCUCUUUAUACUCUCUGUUCCCUUUGCUAGCUGUCAUUCCACAUGCUUCAACCUGCUCAAUUCCCUCCAAUAGUCCAUCUUUUCUGUUACCCAUCCUUCCAGAAUUGUUCUUGGUAGCCUUUUCCGUUAAUAAUCUCCAAUUUACCAUUAAUAUAAUUAUAUCUUUUCUGAAGCUGAUGUUCCUAUAAAGGUUUGAGAUUAUGGUUUAUUUUUUGGGUCACUUUCAUUAACAU
RNAcentral lists this unclassified non-coding RNA (359 nucleotides) under Hevea brasiliensis (rubber tree). Lineage: Eukaryota; Viridiplantae; Streptophyta; Magnoliopsida; Malpighiales; Euphorbiaceae. The record is from RNAcentral.